RNAcentral lists this ribosomal RNA (581 nucleotides) under uncultured Eustigmatophyceae. RNAcentral's name for it is "SSU rRNA". It matches the Rfam family "Eukaryotic small subunit ribosomal RNA", at positions 575 to 1159 of the family's 1831-position model. Lineage: Eukaryota; Eustigmatophyceae. The record is from RNAcentral.
CGCGGUAAUUCCAGCUCCAAUAGCGUAUACUAAAGUGUUGCAGUUAAAAAGCUCGUAGUUGGAUUUCUGGCGGGGACGGCUGGUCGGUCUCGAAAGGGGCUGUACUGUUGUUGGUUCCCGUCAUCCUUGGGGAGAGCGGCUCUUACAUUAAGUUGUCGGCGUCGGGAUCCCUAUCUUUUACUGUGAAAAAAUUAGAGUGUUCAAAGCAGGCUUAGGCCCUGAAUACAUUAGCAUGGAAUAAUAAGAUACGACCUUGGUGGUCUAUUUUGUUGGUUUGCACGCCAAGGUAAUGAUUAAUAGGGAUAGUUGGGGGUAUUCGUCUUCAAUUGUCAGAGGUGAAAUUCUUGGAUUUAUGGAAGACGAACUACUGCGAAAGCAUUUACCAAGGAUGUUUUCAUUAAUCAAGAACGAAAGUUAGGGGAUCGAAGAUGAUUAGAUACCAUCGUAGUCUUACCAUAAACUAUGCCGACUAGGGAUCGGUGGGUGCAUUUUUAGGCCUCAUCGGCACCUUAUGAGAAAUCAAAGUCUUUGGGUUCCGGGGGGAGUAUGGUCGCAAGGCUGAAACUUAAAGAAAUUGACGG